Molecule: long non-coding RNA, 91 nt
Organism: Nomascus leucogenys (northern white-cheeked gibbon)
Lineage: Eukaryota; Metazoa; Chordata; Mammalia; Primates; Hylobatidae
Exons: 3
Source: RefSeq, a predicted model, not a curated record
AAUAUAUUUAUCUUUUUUUCAUCGGCUAUUGUUAGUGUUAGUAUAUUAAUGUGUGGCCCAAGAUGAUUCUUGUUCCAGUGUGGCCCAGGGA